UACAGAGGUCCCGAGCGUUGUUCGGAUUCAUUGGGCGUAAAGGGUGCGUAGGUGGCGCUGUAAGUGGGGUGCGAAAUCCCGGGGCUUAACCCCGGGACUGCAUUCCAUACUGCGGUGCUUGAGGACUGGAGAGGAGACUGGAAUUUACGGUGUAGCAGUGAAAUGCGUAGAGAUCGUAAGGAAGACCAGUGGCGAAGGCGGGUCUCUGGACAGUUCCUGACACUGAGGCACGAAGGCCAGGGGAGCAAACGGG
Molecule: ribosomal RNA, 253 nt
Filed under: uncultured bacterium
Lineage: Bacteria
Description: partial 16S ribosomal RNA
Rfam family: Bacterial small subunit ribosomal RNA
Source: RNAcentral